CGAACGCUGGCGGCGUGCUUAACACAUGCAAGUCGAGCGGUAAGGCCCUUCGGGGUACACGAGCGGCGAACGGGUGAGUAACACGUGGGUGAUCUGCCUCGCACUUCGGGAUAAGCCUGGGAAACUGGGUCUAAUACCGGAUAUGACCUCUUGUCGCAUGGCUUGGGGUGGAAAGAUUUAUCGGUGCGAGAUGGGCCCGCGGCCUAUCAGCUUGUUGGUGGGGUAAUGGCCUACCAAGGCGACGACGGGUAGCCGGCCUGAGAGGGCGACCGGCCACACUGGGACUGAGACACGGCCCAGACUCCUACGGGAGGCAGCAGUGGGGAAUAUUGCACAAUGGGCGAAAGCCUGAUGCAGCGACGCCGCGUGAGGGAUGACGGCCUUCGGGUUGUAAACCUCUUUCGACAGGGACGAAGCGCAAGUGACGGUACCUGUAGAAGAAGCACCGGCCAACUACGUGCCAGCAGCCGCGGUAAUACGUAGGGUGCGAGCGUUGUCCGGAAUUACUGGGCGUAAAGAGCUUGUAGGCGGUUUGUCGCGUCGUCUGUGAAAACUCACAGCUCAACUGUGAGCUUGCAGGCGAUACGGGCAGACUUGAGUACUGCAGGGGAGACUGGAAUUCCUGGUGUAGCGGUGAAAUGCGCAGAUAUCAGGAGGAACACCGGUGGCGAAGGCGGGUCUCUGGGCAGUAACUGACGCUGAGAAGCGAAAGCGUGGGUAGCGAACAGGAUUAGAUACCCUGGUAGUCCACGCCGUAAACGGUGGGCGCUAGGUGUGGGUUUCCUUCCACGGGAUCCGUGCCGUAGCUAACGCAUUAAGCGCCCCGCCUGGGGAGUACGGCCGCAAGGCUAAAACUCAAAGGAAUUGACGGGGGCCCGCACAAGCGGCGGAGCAUGUGGAUUAAUUCGAUGCAACGCGAAGAACCUUACCUGGGUUUGACAUACACCGGAAACCUGCAGAGAUGUAGGCCCCCUUGUGGUCGGUGUACAGGUGGUGCAUGGCUGUCGUCAGCUCGUGUCGUGAGAUGUUGGGUUAAGUCCCGCAACGAGCGCAACCCUUGUCCUGUGUUGCCAGCACGUAAUGGUGGGGACUCGCAGGAGACUGCCGGGGUCAACUCGGAGGAAGGUGGGGACGACGUCAAGUCAUCAUGCCCCUUAUGUCCAGGGCUUCACACAUGCUACAAUGGCCCGGUACAGAGGGCUUGCGAUACCGUGAGGUGGAAGCGAAUCCCCUUAAAGCCCGGUCUCAGUUUCGGAUCGGGGGUCUGCCAACUCGACCCCCGUGAAAUUUGGAGUCCCCUAGUAAAUCGCCAAAUCAGCCAACGCCUGCCGGUGAAAUACGUUUCCCGGGCCCUUGUAACCCCCCGCCCCGUUCACGUUCAUGAAAAGUCCGGUAAACACCCCGAAAGCCCGGUG
RNAcentral lists this ribosomal RNA (1415 nucleotides) under Nocardia sp. Its description in RNAcentral is "bacterial SSU rRNA". It matches the Rfam family "Bacterial small subunit ribosomal RNA". The record is from RNAcentral. Lineage: Bacteria; Bacillati; Actinomycetota; Actinomycetes; Mycobacteriales; Nocardiaceae.